AAUAUUCGACAAUGGGGGCAACCCUGAUCCAGCCAUGCCGCGUGUGUGAAGAAGGUCNNNGGAUUNUCAAGCACUUUAAGUAGNGAGNAAGGGAUUGAGGUUAAUACCCUGAAGUGUGGACGUUACCAACAGAAUAAGCACCGGCCAACUCUGUGGCAGCAGCCGCGGUAAUACAGAGGGUGCAAGCGUUAAGCGGAAUUACUGGGCGUAAAGCGCGCGUAGGUGGUUCAGUAAGAUGGGUGUGAAAUCCCCGGGCUUAGCCUGGGAACUGCUUUCAUGACUGCUGAGCUAGAGUACGGUAGAGGGUAGUGGAAUUUCCUGUGUAGCGGUGAAAUGCGUAGAUAUAGGAAGGAACACCAGUGGCGAAGGCGACUACCUGGACUGAUACUGACACUGAGGUGCGAAAGCGUGGGGAGCAAAC
RNAcentral lists this ribosomal RNA (421 nucleotides) under uncultured bacterium. RNAcentral's name for it is "partial 16S ribosomal RNA". It matches the Rfam family "Bacterial small subunit ribosomal RNA", at positions 360 to 773 of the family's 1533-position model. The record is from RNAcentral.